RNAcentral lists this long non-coding RNA (232 nucleotides) under Vigna radiata. RNAcentral's name for it is "long non-coding RNA (VRAD_LNC002636)". Lineage: Eukaryota; Viridiplantae; Streptophyta; Magnoliopsida; Fabales; Fabaceae. The record is from RNAcentral.
GAAAAUAAAAGAUGACGGUAAGCCUUUAAACUAAAUAAAAAAAAAAUGCAUUGUGUAAUUCAAGUUGAGGUGACCAUGCUUCUUCAAUCUUCAAUUGAAAAGAAAAAUUUCCAAUCAUUCAUUCACUCAUACGGUACUUUUGCAUCCAAUAAAAAAUAUAAAAGCCAUCAUUCCAUGCCUAAGCAAAACGUUCCAGCACCCACUUUUUACUCAAAUGUCGUGAUCGAGCUGC